UGAGGAACAUGACCUUCGGCGGGGGAUAGCCGGCCCAACGGCCGGGUAAUACCGCGUACGACCACUCUGGGACAUCCCUAGGUGGUGAAAGCAGCAAUGCGCCGAUGGAGUGCCUCGCGGCCUAUCAGCUAGUUGGGUGAGGUAACGGCUCACCAAGGCGACGACGGGUAGCUGGUCUGAGAGGAUGGCCAGCCACAUUGGGACUGAGACACGGCCCAGACUCCGUAGGGAGG
RNAcentral lists this ribosomal RNA (233 nucleotides) under uncultured bacterium. RNAcentral's name for it is "partial 16S ribosomal RNA". It matches the Rfam family "Bacterial small subunit ribosomal RNA", at positions 118 to 348 of the family's 1533-position model. The record is from RNAcentral.